GUAAGUCCAUUGAGUGGCCUCUGAUAUCCAGUUUUGUUUUAGGAGAUUGGUGUAAAUCCAUCUAUUGGUAUCCGAUAUCCGCUUUGUUUGUGAGAUUGGAGUAAGACCAUUGAGUGGCAUCCGGUAUCAUUUGCUUGCUUACAUUAUUAUUGCUUAUUGCCCAUUCCAAAGGACACACUUGAAUCAUCUCCUAUAUGAUUUCAAGAGGUGAACCUUCUAAGAAGUUUUACU
This 231-nucleotide long non-coding RNA is filed under the name Lathyrus oleraceus (garden pea). RNAcentral's name for it is "Pisum sativum (pea) long non-coding RNA (PSAT_LNC006431)". The record is from RNAcentral. Lineage: Eukaryota; Viridiplantae; Streptophyta; Magnoliopsida; Fabales; Fabaceae.